CAAUCUAAAAUUCGAUCUCCAGAUGACAAAGUCAGCACCACCCCUAUCAUCUCUGAUGCUACUGUCAAAAUUUAUCUUAACAAAUCUUAAAAGAAAGGAUCCUCAGAAAAUAAAGAUAACCCUCCAGGUCGCUGCAGGAGCAGCAUAGGAGCGCUAAAAAUCGGAGGCAUCAAGGAGCAUACCGGUAGCAUCAAAAUGGUUGUACUGUACAGUCAAGCAGAAAACUCUCUCCAACACCCGAUGAGUAGGUACCACUUCUGUUUUGAAGAUCAAACUAUUCCUGGAGAGCC
RNAcentral lists this long non-coding RNA (290 nucleotides) under Elaeis guineensis (African oil palm). RNAcentral describes it as "long non-coding RNA (EGUI_LNC009752)". Lineage: Eukaryota; Viridiplantae; Streptophyta; Magnoliopsida; Arecales; Arecaceae. The record is from RNAcentral.